AUUGCUGUUUCUUUCUUGCCCUAGAUAUUAUCAUCUUUUCUUCCAUCUCCUAUCUUUUAUUCUUCUUAAUUUUAUCUCAGAUUAUUGCUAGUAGCUUAAGAACAAGUAAUGGAAUUGAGGGUUUCAUGCUCGAUCAAUCUUCUAUUCUCUGUUUUAUUUGCACUAGUUUGUUACCGUUUUUAACAAUUUUCUGGAACCAUAGGGACCGGCUGCGUAGUUAUUGCCAUUACCAAUUAUGUGUUAAAAUUAUGGUUCAAGGCAGAAGUAUUUAGUGUUAGAGAUGUGUGACUCAAAUUUCGUUAUUUGUUAAAGAAAUAAAAUAGAGAGGCUGAUGCAGGUCUCAAGGCACAAUUUCAGACCCAUGGAUGUGAUGGAUUACCAAAGUUCAACAUUCCACCAUAGGUAAAAUAGGACCAUGCCGCACAAGUUGAAUCCGUACAGGAGUAUACUUUUUCUAUUAGGCAUUGAUUAUAAUAGGGUUGUUUAAUAAGUGUAAUCAAACUUCUCAUUUUGUGUGUUUUUCAACAUAGUGAAUUUUUCUUAUUCUGCCCAUGGUUUUUCCCGAUAGGGGUUUUCCAAAUAAAAUCUGUAUUUUUAUUUUUUCAUUCUUAUUGCUUUGUGAUCAUUUUUACUUCCAUUAUUGGUGUUGAUUACAACAUUUAGUAAGCAUGAGGUUCGAAUUUUAGCAUCUGCAAUUUUUUUUUCACUCCUACACUUCUACUGUACCGAAAAUAAAAUAGCAAUCAAAUCAGCAUUUGAAAUUUAUCUUGUUAUUCGCAAUUUUGUUUCUCUUUCUAUGGUAUUGUUAUCUCAAUUGCAGGAAGAUUCAAUCCGUUCAUGGCAGAGAUCAAACUGGUGAGUAAUGACUGGAAUUUUGAGUUGGACCGAACUAUUGGCAAUUUUAAGAGCAAAGCUUUGGCAUAAAUUGUCCUUGAAUGUGGGCGGUUGGGCCGCGGUCUGAUGGCUCAUUUUACUGCAAGUGAUAUCAUCCUGCACCCAUCAUCUUUCAUGUUCUAGAGGUUAUGAGUUUAAAUCUUUCCAUACACAAAACUCUUCAAUAGUUAUGAUUUUACUCGUUCAGGCAUCGUGGGAUGAAGUUUGAAGAUAAAGCUUUGAAAGUGUGUCAUUCUUUUCUUUUAGUAUAUUUACAAUUAGUUCAUGCAUUUUUAAUAAGAGCAAAUUACUGUCAACUCACAUACCACAGAUAGAAAUAAGAUCACUUAUGAUUCAAACCCAUGAAAUGAGUUUUUGAAUGAAUAGUCAAUGCUGCUAAGACAAGAGCUAGACUCUAGUGGUCAUUCUUCGGUGCGACGUCCAAAGAAAAUAAUUCUUAAU
Molecule: long non-coding RNA, 1335 nt
Filed under: Gossypium barbadense (sea-island cotton)
Lineage: Eukaryota; Viridiplantae; Streptophyta; Magnoliopsida; Malvales; Malvaceae
Description: long non-coding RNA (GBAR_LNC008553)
Source: RNAcentral